This is a long non-coding RNA of Macadamia integrifolia, 2138 nucleotides long. RefSeq lists it as uncharacterized. The transcript is spliced from 2 exons. The record is from RefSeq and is a predicted model, not a curated record. NCBI's taxonomy places the organism in Eukaryota, Viridiplantae, Streptophyta, Magnoliopsida, Proteales, Proteaceae.
UGUUUCCCUUUCCAAAUUCUUUAACUUUUUGGGUUGUUUCCGUCUGAUCUGAAUUUUUGCCUUUGGAUAUUGCUGUUAGAGAGCGAUGCUUGAAAACGGUAGAGCUCUUUAUAGCGAGAUCUAUGGACUAUGCUUAUUUGGUGGGUAUGAUACAUAUAUGAGUGGAAGACGUUAAUUGACAAUAUCUAGCUUCUUGCCGAUGUUCAUCUUACUCCUAGAUAAUUUGUGGCACAGUAUUUGGUCAGAUGUUGUAUCAGUUACCAUGUUAGUGAAGUUCUUACUUUAGUUUUUUUCAUUGAUUUAUUUAUCAUUCUGUUCCUAGUAUUUGAUGCAUAAUUCUAAGUUGCCCGUGGCUAUACGAUAGAGUUGUGCAGUAUGAGAUCCAUUUGAGGAAGAAACAUUAUGGCUUGUUUCCUGUUCAUUAGAUAUAAGAAUCGCAGCAGAAUUGGUGCAAUUUCUGCUGUAGUGUUCUAAAGUUGCAUUUUUAGUUUAACUGAUGCUGCUUUCAUACUAUUUGAAUGUUGACAUUCAGGAGAGGGUCCUCUAUAGAGACUAAAGUUGCAUUCUUUGUGCGAAAGUACCUAUCAAUAAGAUCUUGACAGGUGAUCACUCUAUUAAUAAGAGGUUGAUACCCUGAAUUUGUGCACCAAUCCCUUUAGAUGAAGUAUUGCUGUGUUCUUGUCACUCAUUUCUCAUUUCCAUGGAAACUUUGGUGCUGGCUGUAAUCCUUCUCACUGUUUAUUGGGUACCUCCUGGGCUGGAAGCUAGUGUGGCUGUCUCUCAUUCAAAGGUGUUGUAUUCAUUAGAGGUUGAAUGGUAUCAACGUGGUUAUUUCAGCUUUUAGAUUGCUGUAUUUGGAAUUGAGGGACCUUUAGUUUUAUUCUUUUUCUCUUUUCUGUGACCUUAAGGCAUGGUCUUCUGAGGUGGUUGUUAAUAGCAUAUGGGGAAGUUAAUUUUCCCAGUGCUUUAAACAUAGAAGGACAAGUUGCACUAUUUCAACAUGUUGGUCACAUGUUUGAAACUUGGAAACAGCCUCUUCAUUCGUGCGGAUCCUCAGACUAACUGCAUUUCCAUAUAAGAUUAGAUCUAUGCUCUUUUUUAAGGAUCACUUUACAGCCUAUGAUAACUGGUUAUCCGAUAUGCGGCCAUACUACCAGUAUGGGCCAUCAGUCCAACUCUGUGGUCUAUAGGUACCUACUAUGGCUCUAAAAAUGUCAAAUGCUAUUAUUUUAUGCAUAUGCUAGAUACUUUGUUCACCCCCCCCCUCCCAAAAAAAAAAUUAGAAACAACACGUAAUAGUUUGAUAGUGGAUUAUAAGUAGCAUAUACAUUACCAGUUUAGUAUUAUCCUUAUUUUUCACCUUACAACUUUUUUCAGUUUCAUCUUGAUGCAUGGAACAAUGAAAUUAAUUCAAAACAUAACAAAUGCCAUAACUUAUGCUAUUAGUGCAUUGGAAAAGACACUAAUAUAUGUAUCAGUCCUUUAGAUUUCACCAGGGGGGAAGGCCUGAAUAUGAUUUGUUUAUCUGCAUUUGUGCCCUUGAUUUUUGAGAAUGGGAAAUGUCAUCACUGUUCCCCACAUCUGUCUGUAUCAUAUUCUGUAUAUAGGCAUCAUAGCUUUGUUUGUUCUUGAUAUGAAUUUAAGAGCUGCAUUCCAUGCCCAUUUUGAAAGGUUGGUUUCUUUCCAGCAUUUCCCUCUCUCUUUUUUCUUUUUGAGGGUGGGGGGUCCCUAUUAUAUAGGAUUCCGAUUAUAACAUGGCUAAACAGAAAAAGUAAAGAGGAAAUAAAAAAUAAAAAUGUAUAAAAUGAAGAACAAACUUGGCUUGGAAUAUACAUGUACAUUAAGUGGGAAUUGUCCUUUCUUUCCUUAGAGUAAUACAAAUGACUUAUUGAUGCAUGAGUGUAAGCUAAUAAAUGACGAGCCUCUUUCUUUCCCCCUGCUCCUUCCUAUCUAGCUUUGGGCUGCAUUGGGGUUGAGCUUGCCUACAAUGGUUGAUAACUUUGGCUUCCAUUAGCCCAUUCACUGCAGAGGCCAGCUUUGCAAUACUUCUCUUUCUCCCUGUUUGGAUGUAGAUGCUCCUACUAGUAAGAAUAUCUUAACAAGAUACAUAUGGUAUUUGAUUUAUUUUUUCAAGUCUA